AGAGUUGGUCUAGAGGUUGCGGGGUCAUUUGAUUAAUGAUUCCGAGGAAAGUCCGAACUCCCGAAAGACCAGACUUGCUGGAUAACGUCCAGUGCGCGUGAGCGUGAGGAUAGUGCCACAGAAAAAUACCGCCCCCUUUUUUCAGUGAUCAGUAAACAGUAACGAAAGUAAAUUUACUGAUAACUGAUAAAUGAUUGGGGGUAAGGGUGCAAAGGUGCGGUAAGAGCGCACCAGCAGUAUCGAGAGGUACUGGCUCGGUAAACCCCGGUGGGGAGCAAGGUGGAGGGACAAAGGUUGGUCUUUUUCCUGUCCCGUUUUUAGGAACCGCUUGAGGUAAUUGGUAACAAUUAUCCCAGAUAGAUAACCUCUAUUCCAACAAAGGUAAAAGCAAUUUUACUGCUGUUGGGAAAUACAGAAUUCGGCUUAUGUCUGACUCUCUCC
Molecule: RNase P RNA, 441 nt
Filed under: Microcystis panniformis Mp_MB_F_20051200_S6
Lineage: Bacteria; Bacillati; Cyanobacteriota; Cyanophyceae; Chroococcales; Microcystaceae
Also listed under: 7 other names
Description: RNase P RNA component class A
Rfam family: Bacterial RNase P class A
About the family: Ribonuclease P (RNase P) is a ubiquitous endoribonuclease, found in archaea, bacteria and eukarya as well as chloroplasts and mitochondria. Its best characterised activity is the generation of mature 5'-ends of tRNAs by cleaving the 5'-leader elements of precursor-tRNAs. Cellular RNase Ps are ribonucleoproteins.
Source: RNAcentral